UUGAUGACUAAAGAUGUUGAACAUUUCUUUA
RNAcentral lists this non-coding RNA (31 nucleotides) under Mus musculus (house mouse). Lineage: Eukaryota; Metazoa; Chordata; Mammalia; Rodentia; Muridae. The record is from RNAcentral.